AAGCCAGUCGAAGAUACCAGCUGGCUGCAACUGUUUAUUAAAAACACAGCACUGUGCAAACACGAAAGUGGACGUAUACGGUGUGACGCCUGCCCGGUGCUGGAAGGUUAAUUGAUGGGGUCAGCCGCAAGGCGAAGCUCCUGAUCGAAGCCCCAGUAAACGGCGGCCGUAACUAUAACGGUCCUAAGGUAGCGAAAUUCCUUGUCGGGUAAGUUCCGACCUGCACGAAUGGCGUAAUGAUGGCCAGGCUGUCUCCACCCGAGACUCAGUGAAAUUGAACUCGCUGUGAAGAUGCAGUGUACCCGCGGCAAGACGGAAAGACCCCGUGAACCUUUACUAUAGCUUGACACUGAACAUUGAGCCUUGAUGUGUAGGAUAGGUGGGAGGCUUUGAAGUGUGGACGCCAGUCUGCAUGGAGCCAACCUUGAAAUACCACCCUUUAACGUUUGAUGUUCUAACCUAGGCCCAUAAACUGGGUCGGGGACCGUGUCUGGUGGGUAGUUUGACUGGGGCGGUCUCCUCCUAAAGAGUAACGGAGGAGCACGAAGGUUGGCUAAGCAUGGUCGGACAUCAUGCGGUUAGUGCAAAGGCAUAAGCCAGCUUGACUGCGAGAGUGACGGCUCGAGCAGGUACGAAAGUAGGUCUUAGUGAUCCGGUGGUUCUGAAUGGAAGGGCCAUCGCUCAACGGAUAAAAGGUACUCCGGGGAUAACAGGCUGAUACCGCCCAAGAGUUCAUAUCGACGGCGGUGUUUGGCACCUCGAUGUCGGCUCAUCACAUCCUGGGGCUGAAGUAGGUCCCAAGGGUAUGGCUGUUCGCCAUUUAAAGUGGUACGCGAGCUGGGUUUAGAACGUCGUGAGACAGUUCGGUCCCUAUCUGCCGUGGGCGUUGGAAGAUUGAGAGGGGUUGCUCCUAGUACGAGAGGACCGGAGUGAACGCACCACUGGUGUUCGGGUUGUCAUGCCAAUGGCAUUGCCCGGUAGCUAAGUGCGGAAGAGAUAACCGCUGAAAGCAUCUAAGCGGGAAACUUGCCUCGAGAUGAGUCUUCCCUGUCGCUUUAAGCGACCUAAAGGAACGUUUAAGACUAAGACGUUGAUAGGCUGGGUGUGUAAGCGUAGCGAUACGUUGAGCUAACCAGUACUAAUGAACCGUGAGGCUUAACCUG
Molecule: ribosomal RNA, 1163 nt
Filed under: Proteus mirabilis
Lineage: Bacteria; Pseudomonadati; Pseudomonadota; Gammaproteobacteria; Enterobacterales; Morganellaceae
Description: partial 23S ribosomal RNA
Rfam family: Bacterial large subunit ribosomal RNA
Source: RNAcentral